RNAcentral lists this ribosomal RNA (1002 nucleotides) under uncultured bacterium. RNAcentral describes it as "bacterial SSU rRNA". It matches the Rfam family "Bacterial small subunit ribosomal RNA", at positions 356 to 1376 of the family's 1533-position model. The record is from RNAcentral.
GGGGAAUAUUGCACAAUGGGGGAAACCCUGAUGCAGCAACGCCGCGUGAAGGAUGACGGUUUUCGGAUUGUAAACUUCUUUUCUUAGUGACGAAGACAGUGACGGUAGCUAAGGAAUAAGCAUCGGCUAACUACGUGCCAGCAGCCGCGGUAAUACGUAGGAUGCAAGCGUUAUCCGGAUUUACUGGGUGUAAAGGGAGCGCAGGCGGGACUGCAAGUUGGAUGUGAAAUACCGUGGCUUAACCACGGAACUGCAUCCAAAACUGUAGUUCUUGAGUGAAGUAGAGGCAAGCGGAAUUCCGAGUGUAGCGGUGAAAUGCGUAGAUAUUCGGAGGAACACCAGUGGCGAAGGCGGCUUGCUGGGCUUUAACUGACGCUGAGGCUCGAAAGUGUGGGGAGCAAACAGGAUUAGAUACCCUGGUAGUCCACACUGUAAACGAUGAUAGCUAGGUGUGGGGGGUCUGACCCCUUCCGUGCCGGAGUUAACGCAAUAAGCUAUCCACCUGGGGAGUACGACCGCAAGGUUGAAACUCAAAGGAAUUGACGGGGGCCCGCACAAGCAGUGGAUUAUGUGGUUUAAUUCGAAGCAACGCGAAGAACCUUACCAGGUCUUGACAUCCGACUAACGAGAUAGAGAUAUGUCAGGUGCCCUUCGGGGAAAGUCGAGACAGGUGGUGCAUGGUUGUCGUCAGCUCGUGUCGUGAGAUGUUGGGUUAAGUCCCGCAACGAGCGCAACCCCUGCCAUUAGUUGCUACGCAAGAGCACUCUAAUGGGACCGCUACCGACAAGGUGGAGGAAGGUGGGGACGACGUCAAAUCAUCAUGCCCCUUAUGACCUGGGCUACACACGUAAUACAAUGGCCGUUAACAGAGGGAAGCAAAGCGGUGACGCAGAGCAAAACCCUAAAAACGGUCCCAGUUCGGACUGUAGGCUGCAACCCGCCUACACGAAGUCGGAGUUGCUAGUAAUCGCGGAUCAGCAUGCCGCGGUGAAUACGUUCCCG